RNAcentral lists this ribosomal RNA (491 nucleotides) under uncultured bacterium. RNAcentral describes it as "partial 16S ribosomal RNA". It matches the Rfam family "Bacterial small subunit ribosomal RNA", at positions 29 to 506 of the family's 1533-position model. The record is from RNAcentral.
AGUGAACGCUGGCGGUAGGCCUAACACAUGCAAGUCGAACGGCAGCACAGUAAGAGCUUGCUCUUACGGGUGGCGAGUGGCGGACGGGCGAGGAAUACAUCGGAAUCUACUUUUUCGUGGGGGAUAACGUAGGGAAACUUACGCUAAUACCGCAUACGACCUACGGGUGAAAGCAGGGGAUCUUCGGACCUUGCGCGAUUGAAUGAGCCGAUGUCGGAUUAGCUAGUUGGCGGGGUAAAGGCCCACCAAGGCGACGAUCCGUAGCUGGUCUGAGAGGAUGAUCAGCCACACUGGAACUGAGACACGGUCCAGACUCCUACGGGAGGCAGCAGUGGGGAAUAUUGGACAAUGGGCGCAAGCCUGAUCCAGCCAUACCGCGUGGGUGAAGAAGGCCUUCGGGUUGUAAAGCCCUUUUGUUGGGAAAGAAAAGCAGCAGGUUAAUACCCCGCUGUUCUGACGGGACCCAAAGAAUAAGCACCGGCUAACUUCGU